Molecule: long non-coding RNA, 2780 nt
Filed under: Triticum aestivum (bread wheat)
Lineage: Eukaryota; Viridiplantae; Streptophyta; Magnoliopsida; Poales; Poaceae
Description: long non-coding RNA (TAES_LNC026991)
Source: RNAcentral
CCACACAAGAAAGGGUGGAACAAACAGGAAAAAGAGGCGGCCAUGGCGUCCUGAAGGUUAAGAGAAACAAAAACAUAGAAGUCUUCACAACAAGUUAUGCAAGCACAGGCGCAAACACAGAAAUCUAGGUGUGUUUAUUUUGUCACAACCCUGAUCUGUAGCAACACUCGUAGUAUUCUGAUCUGUUUGGCAGAAGACACAGGAAUCUCAAAAAAUAUCCUCCUACCUCUCCCCUUGAUUUGAUUCUUCAAAGAUUCUGGGUACAAGGUCUUUAGAAACUUGAAGCCAGAAUUGUCGAUUCGUUUUGCCUGUGAGCGAUCCUGACCUGCAUAUAUGCAUAGGAAAUGUUAGGUUGGCUUGUGCACAACUGAAUUGUAAUAAGUUGCUUCACAUAUAGUUGGUUUAUAAGUAAAAAUAUUGUUGGUUGCUUGCCUUUCACGACAAAAUGACCUAUAUGUUCCCCAGAUAGUACUAUGCCAGUUUGUUUGUGUGAGAACUUUUUAGAAUGCACCAUUUUUGUGUGGAAAAAGCAACUUUACUCUAAAAUCCAGAUUUAUAAAUGGAUCAUCUUAACAUGAAAUGCAAAUUAACAUGCUUGUGGCCUAGGCAAUGUACUAUACCAUCUAGGCAAGCUAAAUUAGAUUGUUCCAGCUACUACAUUACUGGAAAGAAAACUGAUAUGCCCCAGUAGUAAAAAUUACCAAUUCAGACAAGGAUCCUCUUUGUGCUAUUGUGGAACAUGGAAAACUUGCUACAAAAAUCUGGUGCAAGACACAGCUACUGCAUCUUAAAUAAGACAAUGGAUAAGCUACAUUAUUGCUGGACUGUGGAGAAGAAACUUUACUAUGCUAAGUAAGGAACAAAGAAAAGCAGAAAAUAUCAACGAAAUGACUUGAGGAGUUGAGUAAAAAUGCCAUAUCUAUCUAUCUAUCCAUCUGCGUAGCAACAAUCACAGAUGAAAAGUAAGAGCGUUCUCUCAGAAAAAUGCCUCAUGUUGUCCCAAAGGUUUAAUGGAAUGUAUUGUAUCAGGCAUCUGAUCAGUGUUUUGUUUUUGCGGGUUAGGCAUCUGAUCAGUGUUGACCAACAAAGACCCAAAAACACAAAGUGAGCAACGACGCAGGCUCUUGCACGGACAUACAGAGGAUAAACGAAACCCUUGCUUCAUUAACACUAAAAAGGUGGGAGAACUAGAUGUAUCAAAUGGCCUGGAAAAUCUACUGAGCACAAGUAGAUUGCUUCUCUCUAUCUGUUAUAUCUCUAUCUCUUCUACCUCCAUCUCUAUCUACCUAUCUACUUGCUUCAUUGGCACACACAAAAAUACAACAAUGGCAGAUCGCCAUGAAGAGAUAGACAUAAGAAACUUGCUUCGCUGGCACAAACAAAGUGAGAGAGGACUUGCUUUAUCAAUUUGCCUGAGGAAAGCUACUUAUAUACCACAAGUAAAUUGCAUGUUUCGAUGAAAACAAAAUGCUACAACCAGUCUCACUAGAAAGCACAAAAAACAUGCCCCCUCGCGCUAAGAGAGCAGUUUUUUGUAGGUCGAGCUACAUGGCACCCACUACCUUAACCAUUCAAAUGUUUGCUCAGGUGCAUCUGGAUAUGUGCACAGAUUCACAAAUAAGCUGCUGCACCAGGCGGUCACCGCUUAAUAGUCUGACGCCUACCAGGGUACAGUACACGCCAUGAUAUACCAUGUGCUGCUGCAUGCAUUUGUCCACAAGCAACGCACAGCAUCCCAAGCUUUUGUCUUGCAGCAUCUGUCUUGUGCUACAGUGAAAGAGAGGGACAGGGAUGACAUGCAUUUAAAUAUUUGCCAAUAGUGAUGAGUGAUAAUCUGACGUUUUAUCUAGAGCUUGUUUUUUUAUUGACGUUUUAACAUAUUUUGUGUGUGUGAAAUAUCUGACAUUUUAUCCAACAAUGAUUCAGUCAUGUACUUAAAAUACAACGAAGAUAAUCUUGCUUCGUCCUAUGAUCGCUGUACUAUACGUGGAUGCUUUGUUUUAUCGCAGAUGGAUGUGGGGGCGGCUGAUAAGACGCAACAGAGAUAAAUGUGACAGGCGUCAGCGGUGGGAGGACCCACAAGGACUAGCAUACAGGGCUAUUCCUUCUUUGGAUUACUGUUACCUAGACAGGACAGCGCCUGCAAAGGAUGUUGCAUGAAACAGCUACGCGCACAUGUUGCUCUUUUCCUGCACCAAUCACGAAGCAAGCCAACGGUCCAGAUAAGAGGGACCGUGUAGCUUGCGCUAGGAAGGAACUUUGCGCUCGCGCUAAUCCUCACCUGUCUUCUGGAGGUGUUUGUGAGCAUGCCCCUUGACGGUAAAAACAUUGGCUAAAAAAACAUUCCCCAAAAAUCUACGUACUGUAAUUCGUAAGAAUGAACAAGGGGUGCUCCACUCCCUCCUCAGCAAGAAUCGUAAGAAAACGAGCGCUUCUAAUCGAUGAACGGGUGCUCUGCUCACGGCCACCCUUCUAAAUCGGCCAAGAGAGUGGCUCUGGUCCUUGCGCAGCUACUGAAUGGGGGUAAACUGCCGAAUCAACGCGAGAAAAUCGUCUGGCCCCUUUCGAAUCUGGCCCCGUGGAGCGCGCGCAUACCUGAGGUUUGGUCAUCGGCGGCAGGCAGGCUGGGUCGAUGCUGCGCUCCUCCUUUCGCCGGCGCCCCCCGUUCCGCGGGCUCCAUCCAAUCCAGUUGCCCCUCCCCUCAAACGUCUAGCGCCGCCGCGACCGCCCUGCUUCGCUUCUCUCCCCUCUCCAUCUUCCCCUGCCUUGAGUGACCCAAG